UACGAAGGGGGCUAGCGUUGUUCGGAUUUACUGGGCGUAAAGCGCACGUAGGCGGCUUUGCAAGUCGGAUGUGAAAUCCCUCGGCUUAACCAAGGAAGUGCAUCCGAAACUGCAGAGCUUGAGUACUUAAGAGGAUCGCGGAAUUCCCGGUGUAGAGGUGAAAUUCGUAGAUAUCGGGAGGAACACCAGUGGCGAAGGCGGCGAUCUGGGAAGAUACUGACGCUGAGAUGCGAAAGCGUGGGGAGCAAACAGG
Molecule: ribosomal RNA, 253 nt
Filed under: uncultured bacterium
Lineage: Bacteria
Description: partial 16S ribosomal RNA
Rfam family: Bacterial small subunit ribosomal RNA
Source: RNAcentral